Molecule: ribosomal RNA, 748 nt
Filed under: uncultured Glomus
Lineage: Eukaryota; Fungi; Glomeromycota; Glomeromycetes; Glomerales; Glomeraceae
Description: SSU rRNA
Rfam family: Eukaryotic small subunit ribosomal RNA
Source: RNAcentral
GGCCUACCAUGGUGGUAACGGGUAACGGGGUGUUAGGGCACGACACCGGAGAGGGAGCCUGAGAAACGGCUACCACAUCCAAGGAUGGCAGCAGGCGCGCAAAUUACCCAAUCCCGACACGGGGAGGUAGUGACAAUAAAUAACAAUACGGGGUUCUUUAGGAUCUCGUAAUUGGAAUGAGUACAAUUUAAAUCUCUUAACGAGGAACAAUUGGAGGGCAAGUCUGGUGCCAGCAGCCGCGGUAAUUCCAGCUCCAAUAGCGUAUAUUAAAGUUGUUGCAGUUAAAAAGCUCGUAGUUGAAUUUCGGGGUUAGUAAGUUGGUCAUGCCUUUGGUAUGCACUGGCUUUACUGAUUCCUCCUUCUUGACGAACCAUGAUGUCAUUAAUGGUGGUGUUGCGGGAAAUCAGGACUGUUACUUUGAAAAAAUUAGAGUGUUUAAAGCAGGCUAACGCUUGAAUACAUUAGCAUGGAAUAAUGAAAUAGGACGUUAAUCCUAUUUUGUUGGUUUUCUAGGAUCGACGUAAUGAUUAAUAGGGAUAGUUGGGGGCAUUAGUAUUCAAUUGUCAGAGGUGAAAUUCUUGGAUUUAUUGAAGACUAACUACUGCGAAAGCAUUUGCCAAGGGAUGUUUUCAUUAAUCAAGAACGAAAGUUAGGGGAUCGAAAGACGAUCAGAUACCGUCGUAGUCUUAACCAUAAACUAUGGCCGACUAGGGAUCGGAUGAUGUUAAUUCUUUAAUGACUCAUUCCG